AGAGUUUGAUCCUGGCUCAGGACGAACGCUGGCGGCGCGCCUAACACAUGCAAGUCGAACGAGCGAGAGAGAGCUUGCUUUCUCAAGCGAGUGGCGAACGGGUGAGUAACGCGUGAGGAACCUGCCUCAAAGAGGGGGACAACAGUUGGAAACGACUGCUAAUACCGCAUAAGCCCACAGCUCGGCAUCGAGCAGAGGGAAAAGGAGCAAUCCGCUUUGAGAUGGCCUCGCGUCCGAUUAGCUAGUUGGUGAGGUAAUGGCCCACCAAGGCGACGAUCGGUAGCCGGACUGAGAGGUUGAACGGCCACAUUGGGACUGAGACACGGCCCACACUCCUACGGGAGGCAGCAGUGGGGAAUAUUGCACAAUGGGGGAAACCCUGAUGCAGCGACGCCGCGUGGAGGAAGAAGGUCUUCGGAUUGUAAACUCCUGUUGUUGAGGAAGAUAAUGACGGUACUCAACAAGGAAGUGACGGCUAACUACGUGCCAGCAGCCGCGGUAAAACGUAGGUCACAAGCGUUGUCCGGAAUUACUGGGUGUAAAGGGAGCGCAGGCGGGAAGACAAGUUGGAAGUGAAAUCUAUGGGCUCAACCCAUAAACUGCUUUCAAAACUGUCUUUCUUGAGUAGUGCAGAGGUAUGCGGAAUCCCGGUGUAGCGGUGGAAUGCGUAUAUAUCGGGAGGAACACCAGUGGCGAAGGCGGCCUACUGAGCACCAACUGACGCUGAGGCUCGGAAGUGUGGGUAGCAAACAGGAUUAGAUACCCUGGUAGUCCACACCGUAAACGAUGAUUACUAGGUGUUGGAGGAUUGACCCCUUCAGUGCCGCAGUUAACACAAUAAGUAAUCCACCUGGGGAGUACGACCGCAAGGUUGAAACUCAAAGGAAUUGACGGGGGCCCGCACAAGCAGUGGAGUAUGUGGUUUAAUUCGACGCAACGCGAAGAACCUUACCAAGUCUUGACAUCCUGCGACGCACAUAGAAAUAUGUGUUUCCUUCGGGACGCAGAGACAGGUGGUGCAUGGUUGUCGUCAGCUCGUGUCGUGAGAUGUUGGGUUAAGUCCCGCAACGAGCGCAACCCUUACUGUCAGUUAGUACGCAAGAGGACUCUGGCAGGACUGCCGUUGACCAAACGGAGGAAGGUGGGGAUGACGUCAAAUCAUCAUGCCCCUUAUGACUUGGGGUACACACGUAAUACAAUGGCGUUAAACAAAGAGAAGCAAGACCGCGAGGUGGAGCCAAACUCAGAAACAACGUCCCACUUCCGACUGCAGGCUGCAACUCGCCUGCACGAAGUCGGAAUUGCUAGUAAUCGUGGAUCAGCAUGCCACGGUGAAUACGUUCNCCGGGCCCUUGUACACACCGCCCG
RNAcentral lists this ribosomal RNA (1368 nucleotides) under uncultured bacterium. RNAcentral's name for it is "16S ribosomal RNA". It matches the Rfam family "Bacterial small subunit ribosomal RNA". The record is from RNAcentral.